GGAAAAAAAGUUAAGGAUACAGUUGACCGUUCGAUAAUGUAGCCCACUGUUGACCAGAAGCCCUACCCACAACAUAAACAGGCAAUAACACAUAUUUUGUAUGUGUAUUAUAUAGUAUAUUCUUAACAAUAAAGUAAACUAGAGAAAAGAACAUGUAUCAAGAAAAUCAUAAGGAAGAGAAAACACAUUUACAGUACUGUACUGUAUUUAUUGGUACCAUACAUUUAUGUUGCUGUUUACAAGAUGAAGCAUCUGUCUGAAAUGGCCAGCAGCUACAGCUGUACCUAUCUACUGUACAUAUCAAGCAAGUCACUUUAUUCUUAUAAUGUCUAUGACUUCUUUCUUUGAAAGCGCUUCCAUCAUCACUGUUGGCACUUCAUAUGGGUCUCAUGGUGUUAAGGUUUACGGCAUUGCACUAGACACAAUGAAAACUACACAAGAGGGCCGGGCACGGUGGCUCACGCCUGUAAUCCCAGCACUUUGGGAGGCCGAGGCGGGCGGAUCAUGAGGUCAGGAGAUUGAGACCAUCCUGGCUAACACAGUGAAACCCUGUCUCUAUUAAAAAUAAAAAAAUUAGCCAGGCAUGGUGGCACGUGCCUGUAAUCCCAGCUAAUCGGGAGGCUGAGGCAGGAGAAUCGCUUUUUCCCAGAAGGCGUAGGUUGCAGUGAGCCGAGAUCGUGCCACUGCACUCCAGCCUGGAUGAUAGAGGGAGACUCUGUCGCAAAAAAAAAGAAAAGAAAAAGAAAAGAAAAGAAAAACACACAAGAGCCGUGAGAGAGAUAGCUUUUGAUUGCAAUACACAAUUUACUGGAGAGAUGAGCUGAUCAUACAGAGAUGAUUAGUGUCACACAGUGUUUUAAACAGAUUCUUGCAACCCUGGAGUUCACUGCAGUAGCAACAGAAGUUAGCUAUGAGAUUUUAACAGUAGUAUAGUAUGUACUACAGUUAAUAUUAGGUAGCUAUGAUUUAAUGCUGCAUCUUUGCAUUUGUUUACAUUUAUCUUGACUACAAGUGGUAUUAUGUCUGGUCUUAAGGUUUGUGUGCAUAUGUUUUGAUGAAUUUUAACUUUUUAUAAUAGGUUUGUGUAUAUUUUAUGGCAGUAAAUGAUAAAACAGACUAAUCUACAUAUAUUUUAUGUAGUCAUGACAUAAACCUAACUUUUUCUUAACUUUUUGAUAUUUCUAGUCUAUGUGUUUCAUCUGCAGGUUUUUUCAAAUUGUUGAAAUCUCUGAAAAAUUUUAUUGAAAAAAAAUCCAUAUAUGUAAGUGGACCCACACAUUUCAAACCUGUGUUCAAGGGUCAGCUGUGUAAAUAAUUUUCCUCAAAAUUAAAGUGGAAAAGGAGAGUUACUACUAGUAGAAAGUAGAACUGUACCCUUGGGCAGGGGUGUGUGUGUGUAGUUAAAGAUCAAUUUAACUUAAAAGGUCUUGGUUAGAGAAUAAAAACUGGCCCUUAUUAGCUUUAAUUUACAUGAAAAAUGAAAAAUUUUAGGCCAGGCACAGUGGCUCAGGCCUGUAAUCCCUUAACUUUGGGAGACCAAGGGGAGUGGAUCACUUGAGGUCAGGAGUUCAAGACAGCCUGGCCAACAUGCUGACUCACCCUUCCCUACUGAAAAUACAAAAGUUAGCCAGGCGCAGUGGCCAUCCCUACAGUGCUAGCUACUCGGGAGGCUGAGGCAGGAGAAUUGCUUGAACCCGGGAGGCAAGGUUGCGGUGAGCUGAGAUCGCACCACUGCACUCCAGACUGGGUGACAGAGCGAGACUCCAUCUC
RNAcentral lists this long non-coding RNA (1770 nucleotides) under Homo sapiens (human). RNAcentral describes it as "non-protein coding lnc-PAPSS2-10:1". Lineage: Eukaryota; Metazoa; Chordata; Mammalia; Primates; Hominidae. The record is from RNAcentral.